RNAcentral lists this ribosomal RNA (273 nucleotides) under uncultured bacterium. RNAcentral describes it as "partial 16S ribosomal RNA". It matches the Rfam family "Archaeal small subunit ribosomal RNA", at positions 474 to 747 of the family's 1478-position model. The record is from RNAcentral.
AACCAGCACCUCAAGUGGUCAGGAUGAUUAUUGGGCCUAAAGCAUCCGUAGCUCGUUUUGUAAGUUUUCGGUUAAAUCCAUACGCUUAACGUAUGGGCUGCCGGGAAUACUGCAUAACUAGGAAGUGGGAGAGGUAGACGGUACUCGGUAGGAAGGGGUAAAAUCCUUUGAUCUAUUGAUGACCACCUGUGGCGAAGGCGGUCUACCAGAACACGUUCGACGGUGAGGGAUGAAAGCUGGGGGAGCAAACCGGAUUAGAAACCCGAGUAGUCC